UUUAAAUCGUCUCACAACUGUUCCCACCUCAUACCAUAUCUGUUCCUGGUUCUAAUUCGAGAAGAUCGACUAUGUGAAUCCUUUUAUCUAUGUGAUUAGCGUUAAGUUUCUCAAGCGUGUUAUAUAUUUGUUCCCUCCAUAUGGAGACUACAUGGAUUGGAUAUGAAAAGUUGAGUUCGGGUGAUGCAGAUCUGAGGGUUGGUUCUAAUUGCAGACUACAUGGAUUGGAAUUUCCGGUGAUUUCGCCUCAUAUUGAGACCGGAAAAGGCACCACACCGAGGACAGCAAUGUUGACUCUUUUCGAGACUCAAGUAGUGAUUACGACCUCCCAAAGAGUGAAAUUUUUCGGCGGUUGGAUCAGUCAUGGUUAAAUCAGCAACACGCCCUUCAAUAAGGCUUCUCUAGUGAUGAGGGUGAAUCAGCAAGACCUCAAAUAUGUCUUUCAGUUGAGUAUUUGGAGCGCAAUCAACCUUGAGGUCGGGAACCAGGGGGACAAUCCUGACCCUAAUGCAUCAAUAUGGGUCAACCAACCUUUAGGUCUACCCCAAACUGACCCGAAACUCGUUCUGACCCGGACCCGUUCUGACCCGAACCCGUUCCGACCCGAACCAAAACAACCCUUUUUCAUAAUUGACCCGUUUGACCCAUGACCCGACCCGACCCGAACCGAACCGAACCAACCCGUUUGCUAGGUCUAUCGUGAACCUUUGACUGAUAAGGUUUGUUUAUUAGAAAAGUGUCUAAUAAAGUUUUAAGAUAUGUUAUGUGGUGUUUCUGAUAUAAAUAAUUCUACAUUAAUCUGUUGCAUAUAUACUUGAUUUUGCGCGUCACUUCCCAGAGCUGAAAAGCAUGAAAAGUUGUGAUUUGUUUUUUGUUUUUUGACGUUUCAUUCUCUUCAUACACCAAUCACAGGUUUGUAUUUUUUCUAUAUAACUUUUGUGUUGGAUUUUGAAGCUGAUGAUUUGAUUACUGAAAUAAGUAUCAGUUUCUAAUGCUUGGAUAAACUGAUCACUUUUACUUUUUUUUUUUCCACAACAGGGUCUUUUUUGGUUGUUUUCUUAAUUUAUCGAGUAAUCAGAGUUUCCAAACACUUGAAAAACCGAGCAUCUGAUGGUUAAAACUUACAACCUCAAAUAGCAUAACAUGUUCAAACACUAUCUCCAACAACCUGUUUUAUUACAUUUAUCUUAGUAUGAUUAGUAUCACGUGAUUACCUCUAGUUAACAUAUCCAAACACCACCCUAAAUGCAUCAAGAGAGACGAUACUGGAUGGUCUCUUGUGGAUUCAGAUGCAAAACAUUAGGAAAUACACAUAACUUUAGCAAUGAAAGUGAAAACGUUAAUAUAGAUCCAGUUUUUUCACCAAUCAAUUUAGAUAAAUUGUUUGUAUGCUAGUCCAUUCCUGGUGGUCUGUGUGUGUCUACAUUAAAAUUUACAUAAUUGUUUAUUGCAGGCAAUCAACAUGAGCAUCCGCCUGUUAUGAAUCCUGGGAAGACAGGUACCCCAAAAAUCUCAUUACCAGUGUUUGUUCUUGCUUCAUUCAAGUUAAAAGAACCUCUAUGGAUCAACAAUGAAGGCGAAUUGCUGACGGAUCUAUUGCAGGCAGCCGACAGUUGGUUGGCAAAUCUUCAGGUCAAUCACCUUCAUUUGGUUCAUGUCUGCUGACUUGGACAGCCUAGUUGAAACUCAACUGGUUGUAUCAUUUUUCAAAAGUUCCUUAGGAACGUGAGUACCAUGGAAACACCAGAAUCGAAGUGGUGAAACCCGCCGGCAGAAGACUGUUUUUGUUCUAACUGAAACAAGUUGUGUGUUAAUUAAGGAUGGAGCUAGAUCGAAGUGAUAGUGUACACAUGGUUAACGACAUCCGCAAAACUGCAAUGGAGUUUCUACCUUUGAGUAAUCCACACAACGUAAACAACAAUCUAUCCGCAAAAUUGUAGGAUCCGGGUUUCAAUAUGUUAUGCAUGACCAAACUAGAUGUAUAAAAAGUUUUAUCCCGUUAGCUAUUAUUCUCGUUCUUUUUUUACAUGAUUUUUAAAACCGUUAUAAAAAUCCGGGUUUCAAUU
Molecule: long non-coding RNA, 2066 nt
Organism: Helianthus annuus (common sunflower)
Lineage: Eukaryota; Viridiplantae; Streptophyta; Magnoliopsida; Asterales; Asteraceae
Exons: 2
Source: RefSeq, a predicted model, not a curated record